This 1157-nucleotide unclassified non-coding RNA is filed under the name Acyrthosiphon pisum (pea aphid). RNAcentral describes it as "uncharacterized LOC100161885, transcript variant X4". The record is from RNAcentral. Lineage: Eukaryota; Metazoa; Arthropoda; Insecta; Hemiptera; Aphididae.
GUUGACUGCGGACACGCCGCUCGCAUACGGCCGUCGACCAGACCGAUUCGUGUGUUCCUACGUUUUGUUGUGUUCUUUUUUUUUUGAAUGAGCAGCGUUCAGUUUGACGCGAACCGCGGCCAGGCCAUCACCGUCUGAUGUUAUAUUACAGUCAUCGAUGACUCCGUAGUCUUGUUCGUCUCGACCGGGACACGCGGCCGAGAUCGGCGUACGACGACGGUACCUAUAUCAUAAUAAUAUUAUAUACACUUACGACUCGUCCAGUGUUAAUUCAUAUAAAUGUUUUAUAAUCAUAUUCGUUUAUCGUAAUCGUAAAAAUUACAUUCACUACCACCGGAGUUCUCGCGAGAGUGAGUGCUAUAUAUAUAUAAUAUAUACACGAUACACCAAUAUACAUCGCGUGUAUAUAUAUAUAUAUAUAUAUGCGUUUGAAUGUGUUAGCGGCCACGAUCGCGAUCUGUCUGAGAUGAUCGUACGAAUGAAAUCUCAUAUACAAAAUAUACUUACAUUCCAAACGGUCCAACGCGACACCAUGCGUGUACGGCUAUAGCUGUUAUUUUACCUAAGCAAAAUAUAUCACCGACACCUCAUAGCCACCAAUUUUUCUUUAGGUACUUUCCAUUAUUAUUAUUAUUAUUAUUAAUAUAUAAUAUUAUAAACGCGCUGGCGAAGUGUCAAAAUUCAACUUGUGUUUUGCUGUCACCGGAAUUCAAAACAAUAUAAUACCGUGUCCGUGGGUAUUGUGAAAUAUAAUAUUAUUAUACACACAUGAUGUAUAUUGCACAUAUAAUAUUAUAUUGUCUACGUGAUUAAAAUGACAAACGCGAAGAAGAAUAGUAGGGAUGACAAUGAUAACGACGACGACUAUGUAAGAAUGUGACGGGAAGAGGAUGUUAUUAUAUAGGCAUAUAUAUAUAUAUACAUAUAUAUACAUAGAUACCUAAACGUACAACGCGGUAGAAUCGUAAUUUUCGUUUUAUAUAGGUAGGUACCGGUCACUACCUUUAUAACAUACUCAUCUUAUAUAAACAGUUAGUCGCAUGCUAAGACAAAUGAAUUGGUCACGUCAUAAACAUUUUAAUUUCGGCAAUAUAUAAUAAUAUAUAGGUACGCGUGCAUAGUAUAUAAUACCUAUAUAUACCAUAUUAUAGUGUAUA